GAUAAACUGGGGAGAGGCUUUUGGCUUCCAAGAUCAAAGACAAACCUGAAGGAUUCAAAGCUGGAGCCAGAGAGGGCGGCAUUAGACUGCCCACUGUUUUCCUAUCCCUGCCUCUUCCCCGCGGCAGGAGAAUGCUCUUCCCUAGGAUCAUGCCCCCUGCCUGCCUGGGCUGACUGCAGACGAGCAGGAAAGCAGGGUUUCGACUAACAGCUCUCACCAACUAUUGCCAACACAGAUGAAUUAAGACACCAGGGGAAGAGAUGAGGAUACGCACGACCAGCAGUUGGAAGAGGAGGAACACUGACGUCGGAGCUGGGCCAUACAAAUCCUGUCUUUGGAGCUGAAGGGGUUUCUCUGAUGGGAAAACAACCUUGGUUGUUCCAUAGAAACAAAGAAUCCACCUGCCAGUGGGGUUCAGUUUCUGAUCUGGGAUGAUCCCAGACGCCGCGGAGCAACGGAGCCUGGGAACCACAACUACCGAAGCCCACGUGCCCUAGAGCCUGUGCUCCGCAACAGAGAAGCCACUGCAGAGAGAAGCAGCCCACACACUGCAACCAGAGAAAAGCCCUGGCAGCCAAAAUAAGGAAAUAAAAUUACUUUUAAAAAAAUAAAAAGAAACACCAGGGUGAGCCCGUCCGGUCUCCACAUGCGAAUCACCUGUCUGGAGGGCACGUGGGAACCACGGUGCUCAUUCCUGCCUGACUUGACGAGUGAGGAGAGAGAGAGGACCUCGGAUUUGUAUAAAGAGCAGGGACAAGAGGUGAAUAGAGGGUGGAGCGGGUCCUGGGAGGGGCCAUUUCCAUUCCUGGAACUUUUCUCCUGCCGAGAACCAAGGCUAGAGUCCACGGGGCCCGAGGCAGCUGGGGUUAACACUGGACAAGGGACAGAGAGCAUUCACCCUGGUCCCUGUAUGCCUCGGAUUUCAGAACAGGUGACGCGCCCAUUCUUGGCACUUGGAGCUGAUAAAUCAGCCUGGUGCUGGGCCCAGGCCAGUUGGGUUUCUCCUGGAGCAGUAAAUACAAACCCCUGACUUAGCAGGAUGUGACUGGCCUCCCUGCUCCAGCCUGUCACCCCCACAGUCCUCACCCUUUGCCUGCACAGUCCUCCAUGUCUCUUGUCUUUAGACCCUAGCAACACUGCCCCAUCUACCUGAGACCCUCUCCCCAGCCCUGCUUCCUUUAUCUGGUUAACCCUGCUCCUUUCUCAGGUCUCAGCUGAGCCACCCCUCCUUCUAGAAGUUUCCUGUGAUUCCACCCCCAAGUCCAGGGGAGCUGCCUCUGCUUCGAGCUCCCAUGUGUCCUCCACACACCCCUUCAA
Molecule: long non-coding RNA, 1317 nt
Organism: Bos taurus (domestic cattle)
Lineage: Eukaryota; Metazoa; Chordata; Mammalia; Artiodactyla; Bovidae
Source: Ensembl